ACGUACGCUGGCGGCACGCCUAACACAUGCAAGUCGAACGAAGUAGCAAUACUUAGUGGCAGACGGGUGAGUAACAUGUAGGUAUCUGCCCUUUGGCCUGGAAUAACACGAGGAAACUUGUGCUAAUACCGGAUAAGUCUUUACGGAGAAAGCUUUAUGCACCAUUGGAUGAGCCCGCACUUGAUUAGUUUGUUGGUGGGGUAAUGGCCUACCAAGACUGUGAUCAAUAGCUGAUUUGAGAGGAUGAUCAGCCACAUUGGGACUGAGACACGGCCCAAACUCCUACGGGAGGCAGCAGUGGGGAAUCUUGCACAAUGGAGGAAACUCUGAUGCAGCGAUGCCGCGUGAGUGAAGAAGGCCCUUGGGUUGUAAAGCUCUUUCGUCGGGGAAGAAAAUGACUGUACCCGAAUAAGAAGGUCCGGCUAACUUCGUGCCAGCAGCCGCGGUAAUACGAAGGGACCUAGCGUAGUUCGGAAUUACUGGGCUUAAAGAGUUCGUAGGUGGUUGAAAAAGUUAGUGGUGAAAUCCCAGAGCUUAACUCUGGAACUGCCAUUAAAACUUUUCAGCUAGAGUAUGAUAGAGGAAAGCAGAAUUUCUAGUGUAGAGGUGAAAUUCGUAGAUAUUAGAAAGAAUACCAAUUGCGAAGGCAGCUUUCUGGAUCAUUACUGA
This 669-nucleotide ribosomal RNA is filed under the name alpha proteobacterium IMCC14854. RNAcentral describes it as "bacterial SSU rRNA". It matches the Rfam family "Bacterial small subunit ribosomal RNA", at positions 29 to 743 of the family's 1533-position model. The record is from RNAcentral. Lineage: Bacteria; Pseudomonadati; Pseudomonadota; Alphaproteobacteria.